This is a long non-coding RNA of Octopus bimaculoides (California two-spot octopus), 742 nucleotides long. Lineage: Eukaryota; Metazoa; Mollusca; Cephalopoda; Octopoda; Octopodidae. The record is from RefSeq and is a predicted model, not a curated record.
CACACACACACACACACACACACACAUAUAUAUGUAUAAUUGUAAAUAAUUAUCUUUUACCUAAAGUGAGCGGAAAUCCUAAGUGAGGUCUGUUCACCUCCACCGCCGCAUCACAUCAACACAAACAACAGCGAGCCGUCAUAUUUAACCCACACUCAACCCCAUUCCCUUCUCUCCCUCACAUGAAAACCCUUUCCACCGUCACCCCCCCAACACCUUCAAACAUAUUUAUCAACAACAUCAAACCACAUCAAAAACCACAACAACCAGUUGCAAAAAAAUAAUAAUGGUUAAUAUUUACCAAAAUAUUUGUGAAUAUAUUACUCAAGCGUAUUGCUAAAGAUAUAUAUAUAUUUAUAUAUAUAUAUACACACAUAUAUAUACAUAUACAUAUACAUAUAUAUAUAUGUGUAUAUAUAUGUACAUAAAUAUAUAUAUCAAUGUAUAUAAAAUAUUUUUUUAACUCUAACAAUGUGCUCCCUGAAAGGCAAUUACCAUGUGAAAAUUACAUUUUACAAUUAAAAUAUUAAUUUUAAUAGUAAUAAUAAUAAUAAUCUUAAAUAUUUGGAACUGCGGAUUGGAUCUACUCAUUAUACAUGGUAUGGCACGGAAUUAUUAAGGUGAGUUGGUUUCAAACAUUUUUAUGUGGCAACUUUUAUAGCAAAGUGUAUUGUCACUUAUGAACAAGUAAGUCUGUUGAUAUCACUUUCACUCUAUUUAUGGUCAUGUCUCUACGUCAUUG